RNAcentral lists this transfer RNA (75 nucleotides) under Paenochrobactrum glaciei. RNAcentral's name for it is "tRNA-Val". It matches the Rfam family "tRNA". From Rfam's summary of the family: Transfer RNA (tRNA) molecules are approximately 80 nucleotides in length. The record is from RNAcentral. Lineage: Bacteria; Pseudomonadati; Pseudomonadota; Alphaproteobacteria; Hyphomicrobiales; Brucellaceae. RNAcentral also lists the same sequence under 3 other names.
GGGCGUAUAGCUCAGCGGGAGAGCACUACAUUGACAUUGUAGGGGUCAUAGGUUCAAUCCCUAUUACGCCCACCA